UCGGGCCCGGGUGCGGCGGGGCGGAACCGUGAGAACCGCGCAGGCGCCUAGUCAGGCCCCGCCCACCGCCGCCGCGCAGGCGCCUCGUGGCGCCCCGCGGACCGCGCAGGCGUGGUUUUCAGGCCAACAUGGCCGUGCUGCUGCUGCUCCGCGCCCUCCGCCGGGGUCCAGGCCCGGGUCCUGGGCGGCUGUGGGGCCCAGGCGCGGGCUGGAGUCCAGGGUUCCCCGCCGGGUCCUGGAGGGGGCGGCCGUACUUGGCCAGCAGGCCUCCGGGGGACCUCGCCGAGGCUGGAGGCCGAGCCCUGCAGAGCUUACAGUUGAGACUGCUCACCUCUACCUUUGAAGGGAUCUACGGAUUGUUGUUGAAACAACAUUUAGUUCAGAAUCCAGUCAGACUCUGGCAACUUUUAGGUGGUACUUUCUAUUUUAACACCUCAAGGAUGAAGCAGAAGAAUAAGGAGAAGGAUAAGUCGAAGGGGAAGGCUCCUGAAGAGGACGAAGAGGAUAGGAGACGCCGUGAGCGGGACGACCAGAUGUACCGAGAGCGGCUGCGCACCUUGCUGGUCAUUGCAGUUGUCAUGAGCCUCCUGAAUGCUCUCAGCACCGGUGGAGGCAGCAUUUCCUGGAACGACUUUGUCCACGAGAUGCUGGCCAAGGGUGAGGUGCAGCGUGUCCAGGUGGUGCCUGAGAGCGACAUGGUGGAAGUCUACCUGCACCCUGGAGCCGUGGUGUUUGGGCGGCCUCGACUAGCCUUGAUGUACCGAAUGCAGGUUGCAAAUAUUGACAAGUUUGAAGAAAAGCUUCGAGCAGCUGAAGAUGAGCUGAAUAUCGAGGCCAAGGACAGGAUCCCGGUUUCCUACAGGCGAACAGGAUUCUUUGGAAACGCCCUGUACUCCGUGGGGAUGACAGCGGUGGGCCUGGCCAUCCUGUGGUGUGUUUUCCGUCUGGCCGGAAUGACUGGCAGGGAAGGUGGAUUCAGUGCUUUUAAUCAGCUUAAAAUGGCUCGUUUCACGAUUGUGGAUGGGAAGACGGGGAAAGGAGUCAGCUUCAAAGACGUGGCAGGAAUGCACGAAGCCAAACAGGAGGUCCGCGAGUUUGUGGAUUAUCUGAAGAGCCCAGAGCGCUUCCUCCAGCUUGGCGCCAAGGUCCCAAAGGGCGCACUGCUGCUCGGUCCCCCUGGCUGUGGGAAGACGCUGCUGGCCAAGGCGGUGGCCACGGAGGCUCAGGUGCCCUUCCUGGCGAUGGCUGGCCCAGAGUUCGUGGAGGUCAUUGGAGGCCUCGGCGCUGCCCGCGUGCGAAGCCUCUUCAAGGAAGCCCGAGUCCGGGCCCCCUGCAUCGUCUACAUCGAUGAGAUUGACGCGGUGGGCAAGAAGCGCUCCACCACCAUGUCCGGCUUCUCCAACACGGAGGAGGAGCAGACGCUCAACCAGCUUCUGGUAGAAAUGGACGGAAUGGGCACCACAGACCAUGUCAUCGUCCUGGCAUCCACGAACCGAGCUGACAUUUUGGACGGUGCUCUGAUGAGGCCAGGCCGACUGGACCGGCACGUCUUCAUUGAUCUGCCUACACUGCAGGAGAGGCGGGAGAUUUUUGAGCAGCACCUGAAGAGCCUGAAGCUGACCCAGUCCAGCACCUUUUACUCCCAGCGUCUGGCAGAGCUGACACCAGGAUUCAGCGGGGCUGACAUCGCCAACAUCUGCAACGAGGCUGCCCUGCACGCAGCGCGGGAGGGACACACUUCGGUGCACACGCUCAACUUCGAGUACGCCGUGGAGCGCGUCCUUGCAGGCUGCAGGCUUGGCCAUGCCAUCCCUGUUGAACUGAGCUUGUCACUCCUGGUGUCGACAGCCUGCCUGCACUUGUCCGUACUAGAAACACACUCGUUUGUUUUCAGGCACUGCCAAAAAGAGCAAGAUCCUGUCCAAGGAAGAACAGAAAGUGGUUGCAUUUCACGAGUCGGGCCACGCCUUGGUGGGCUGGAUGCUGGAGCACACGGAGGCUGUGAUGAAGGUCUCCAUAGCCCCUCGGACGAACGCCGCCCUGGGCUUUGCUCAGAUGCUUCCCAGAGACCAGUACCUCUUCACCAAGGAGCAGCUGUUUGAGCGGAUGUGCAUGGCCCUGGGGGGCCGGGCCUCGGAAGCACUGUCCUUCAACAAGGUCACUUCCGGGGCACAGGAUGACCUGAGGAAGGUCACCCGCAUUGCCUACUCCAUGGUGAAGCAGUUUGGGAUGGCACCUGGCAUCGGCCCCAUCUCCUUCCCUGAGGCACAGGAGGGACUCGUGGGCAUCGGGCGGCGCCCCUUCAGCCAAGGCCUGCAGCAGAUAAUGGACCAUGAAGCAAGACUGCUGGUGGCCAAGGCCUACAGACACACCGAGAAGGUGCUGCAGGACAACCUGGACAAGCUGCAGGCGCUGGCAAACGCCCUUCUGGAAAAGGAAGUGAUAAACUAUGAGGACAUCGAGGCUCUCAUUGGCCCGCCGCCCCACGGGCCGAAGAAAAUGAUCGCACCGCAGAGGUGGGUCGACGCCCAGAGGGAGAAACAGGACUUGGGAGAGGAGGAGGCCGAAGAGACCCAGCAGCCCCCACUUGGAGGCGAAGAGCCGACUUGGCCCAAGUAGCUGGGACGUGUUGGCCGCACGUGCGGGUGACCCAAGAACUGAGGGCUCACUCAGCCACCCUGCAUUGCUUUUCAACUGAGGUUUGCACUUCCUCUUGCGGCCCUCAGUAGUCCCUGUGCAGCGACUUCUGAGAUCUGUUUGUUGAUUACCCUUUUCAUGAUUGUAAGUUUCUCUGCAGAAACAACUGGCCAAGCCUUGUGUGUGUGUGUCGUCUCCCCUGUGGGGAAGGUUCUCAGUGCGUUCCCGAGUGAGCAUGGAACACCUGAGUUCCCAAGGUUCUAGACAGUCGUUCCCAGCGUGGCUGAGGCCACCCAGAGGCAGCAGAGCAUUCAGACUCCGAACAGACCGCCGUUCAUGCCGACGCUUGCACAGCCUCCCAGUUCCUGUGGCUCCCUCAGAAUGCUAACAAGAUCGGACAUGAAAGGACCCUCUGAGCCAGCAGCCCCGUCCUCCAGCUCACUCGUCAAUGGGGCCACACAGUCUGGCCCAGGCACUGGGCUCCAGGGGACUCAACACUGCCCCCUGCUGCCAUGUGGACGGUGCAAGUUGAGGACUUCUUGCUGGUCUAGUCACACAUGCAGUGUUGGGGGAUGCCUUGGUUUUUUCUGCCCUGAGAACUGUUGAGACACUUUACUAAUAAACUCUGUGGUUGGAAAAUUA
Molecule: RNA transcript, 3279 nt
Organism: Cercocebus atys (sooty mangabey)
Lineage: Eukaryota; Metazoa; Chordata; Mammalia; Primates; Cercopithecidae
Gene: SPG7
Gene name: spastic paraplegia 7 (pure and complicated autosomal recessive)
Exons: 18
Source: RefSeq, a predicted model, not a curated record